CCGGGCAGAAGGUGCGCUGGGGGAUUCUGGCGACCGGUGGGAUGGCGGCGACGUUCACGGCGGAUCUGGUCGAU
This 74-nucleotide transfer RNA is filed under the name Streptomyces mutabilis. The record is from RNAcentral. Lineage: Bacteria; Bacillati; Actinomycetota; Actinomycetes; Kitasatosporales; Streptomycetaceae.